CUGAGUGUUUAUUUUUUUGAGAAAUCAAAAAAAUACCUCCCACCCUUUGUUUAUAUGACCUGUUGCUUCGGCAAGACUUGAUGAUUGUAAAAAUUAUCAAAUUGACUUGUUUUAAUUCAAGUGAAUUAGUUUUGCUUGCCGAAGUUUUUUUAUAACUCUUUUAUUUUGAAAAUAUUUUGUUCAAACAUAAAAAAAAUUA
Molecule: unclassified non-coding RNA, 199 nt
Filed under: uncultured fungus
Lineage: Eukaryota; Fungi
Description: sequence contains ITS1, 5.8S rRNA gene
Source: RNAcentral